RNAcentral lists this ribosomal RNA (406 nucleotides) under uncultured bacterium. Its description in RNAcentral is "partial 16S ribosomal RNA". It matches the Rfam family "Bacterial small subunit ribosomal RNA", at positions 30 to 526 of the family's 1533-position model. The record is from RNAcentral.
AUUGAACGCUAGCGGCAGGCCUAACACAUGCAAGUCGAACGAGUGGCGGACGGGUGCGUAAUGUCUGGGAAACUACCUGCGAGGGGGGGAUAACUACUGGAAACGGUAGCUAAUCCCGCAUACCAUCGGAUGUGCCAAGAUGGGAUUAGCUAGUAGGUGGGGUCAACGCUCCCCUAGGCGACGAUCCCUAGCUGGUCUGAGAGGAUGACCAGCAACACUGGAACUGGUACACGUGCCAGACUCCUACGGGAGGCAGCAGUGGUGAAUAUGGCACAAUGGGCGCAAUCCUGAUGCAGCCAUGCCGCGUGUAUGAAGAAGGCCUUCGGGUUUUAAAGUACUUUCAGCGGGGAGGCGUUACCCGCAGAAGAAGCACCGGCUAACUCCGUGCCAGCCGCCGCGGUAAUAC